This 75-nucleotide transfer RNA is filed under the name Winmispira thermophila DSM 6192. RNAcentral's name for it is "tRNA-Asp (GTC) (tRNA-Asp-GTC-1-1)". It matches the Rfam family "tRNA". Rfam says of the family: Transfer RNA (tRNA) molecules are approximately 80 nucleotides in length. Their secondary structure includes four short double-helical elements and three loops (D, anti-codon, and T loops). RNAcentral also lists the same sequence under 1 other name. The record is from RNAcentral. Lineage: Bacteria; Pseudomonadati; Spirochaetota; Spirochaetia; Winmispirales; Winmispiraceae.
GGGGGCGUAGUUCAGUUUGGUUAGAACGCCGGGCUGUCAAUCCGGAGGUCGCGGGUUCAAGUCCCGUCGCUCCCG